RNAcentral lists this unclassified non-coding RNA (390 nucleotides) under soil metagenome. Its description in RNAcentral is "partial contains 5.8S ribosomal RNA, internal transcribed spacer 2, and large subunit ribosomal RNA". The stretch from base 1 to 122 matches the Rfam family "5.8S ribosomal RNA", at positions 35 to 154 of the family's 154-position model. The record is from RNAcentral.
GAUGAAGAACGUAGCGAAAUGCGAUACUUGGUGUGAAUUGCAGAAUCCCGUGAACCAUCGAGUCUUUGAACGCAAGUUGCGCCCGAAGCCAUUAGGCCGAGGGCACGCCUGCCUGGGCGUCACACGUCGUUGCCCCCCCAUCUACUCCUUCGGGAUUGCGGGGGGCGGAUGAUGGCCUCCCGUGCGCCUCGUCGCGCGGUUGGCCUAAAUGCCAAGUCCUCGGCGACGCACGCCACGACAAUCGGUGGUUGCGAAACCUCGGUUGCCUGUCGUGUGCGGUCGUCGCGCAUCGAGGGCUCGAAAAAAUUGCCGGGCUUCGGCUCGACUUUCAACGCGACCCCAGGUCAGGCGGGGUUACCCGCUGAAUUUAAGCAUAUCAAUAGCGGAGGA